GCAUGCAGGUUUCGAAAGACCGUGAUCAACAACUUAGAUUACAAAACAAGCUUGCACACACGAAACCAAUCAUUUAAUUUGAGAUACAGACAAGUAUACCGACCGUCUUCAAACAGACAAUUUUAUACCGAAAGGAUAAAGAUUUUGAGAUAUUUUUCAAGAUGAAAAUCUCAGUGGCAAUGAUUAUGGCAAUUGGCGUGGUCGUAAUGGCUACGUUGGCCCAAGGUCAGUGGCCCAACAAAGACCAAUGCUUCCCUUCAAGGUUCGAAUGCCUUCGACUUGCUCCUCUGUCAAAGUCCGGGGCAUCACAGACUUGUAAACAACGUUGUGAUUGCAGUGGCUAUCAGUAUUCAGACUGCCUGCGAACUUCCUGCUCCAGAGGCGGCGAAGGCUGGCAGUGUCGAUGUUCCGGUCGUCGCAGACCACAGAGUCAGAGACCUGCAUGGUGUAAUCGUAAAAAUAAUGACUCCUAAAUAGAUAAAAAGGAGGUAAACACACAUACACACAAUGUAACCACUGAAGCAUAAAUACGCUUCAUAUGGUCGUUAAUCUAUAGAUUUAGGUUUAUAACUGUAAGUUUCGUUUGACGCUUUUGUACUCUUGAACUUUUAAGCUUAAUAAAAUUCAACAAACCGAAAA
Molecule: long non-coding RNA, 639 nt
Organism: Dendronephthya gigantea
Lineage: Eukaryota; Metazoa; Cnidaria; Anthozoa; Malacalcyonacea; Nephtheidae
Exons: 2
Source: RefSeq, a predicted model, not a curated record